GAAGCCUCGCCUGCUGUUGUCCCGGGAGCGCACGUGCGCUGCGGUGGGGCGCCGAGGGGCGUUCGGCGGGUGCCCCUAGGGGACUGGGGGACAGGGAACGCGAAGUGGGUAGAGACGCUGCCUGAGAGGUCCCGACGUAGGCUGUUGCCUCGGCCCCGGCAUUGUGCUGCGGUGCAAAAAUAAAAAACCGGCCGCCGCCGCAGCAGCAGCAGUAGCACCGGGAAGAGGCAUCCUCCGAGACUACGGCAGUGGCUCCUCUCUACUCCCAGCUGACCCCCAGAACACUGUCACCGCGCCGCGGAGGAGAGGGGGCUUUGCCUCAAGUCAGGAAGAUCCUCGCCUCUCCAUCCCUUGCACAUUUGGGUCUAGAAUGGACGCGCCCCGGUUAUUAUUUGGAAUCCGGGGGCCUAAAAGUUCCUUCAGUUGGCUUCUUCAUUCAGAGUUAUGGACCAGAAAAUUGAAAGUGGCAUGGCAGGGGAGAGAAAGGACAAGAAAGGGUGAAAGAGUGGCCAAACUGAAGCCCCCAAAGGCGGUGCAGCACUUCCACCUGCAACGACCAUCUGUGUCACAGAAUACAGGAAAGAUAUCUUGACAUUCUACCGCGUUCUAUUUUCAUUUUUUUCUUUCAAGCGUGUACCUUUCACUUCUGACUCAGUUUGGUAUCUAAAUAAAUGUUGGGGGUGAUUAACCUACAGAAUUCACUCUUAUUCUCAAGUCUACCGAUGCCAAAUACUGCAUCAUCUAAUGUCACUGCAGUAAUUUGGGUCCACUCAGCAUUUAGUCAUUUCAGUGGGAGUCACUGAAUAUAAAACGUGGCCUUGACCGCGAUUAGCAGAAUGUCAAGGGCAUACGUGAAGCAGGAUUUCACCACAUCCUGGAGAGAAAUUAGAGAGUGAACAUGCACAAUAAUCCCACUCUUCCAGCUUCAGUGUAAUCAAAGUUGCUUUAAAGAACAAGUACUAGGGAAGGGAUGGAAUGAGAAGAUUUGCCUAGAAGCACAAACUAGGAUGGGAAAAUUUGAAAGAAGCCAACUUGAAAUAAAUGCAUGGCAGCCCUCUGCUGGAAAUAGUCAGGUGCACCUGAGAUUCAUAAGGGUCUUCAUGGAUACCUCCUAAGUGCUACAGAAACAGCAAGGAGAAAGUCCACCAGAAGAGUGCAAUCCUUCUCCACUCUCUUUCGUCCCCUUUACUACUGGAGGGGAGAAGACAAAGGGUCCUUACAUUUACAUUUCCACCACCGCCUCUAGUUACCAUACCUGGGGCAGUUGGCUGUAACUCUUUCCAUGCCCACAAGAACACAGCAUUAAAAACAAAACCACAUUCAAGUACAGUGACUCCAGCUAAGCUGUGGCGUGUUGAUUAGCCAAACCAUUGGCAUUUCACAUGCCCAGUCCUUGCUGUUCUUUGAUGGGCAAGUAACCCCGAAGAAGAGAGCAAUUUUUCCAUCGUCACCCAUUUUAUAAUUACUAGCCCUGCUUCUGGGCUGGCUGUCACAUCCUACACCUCCCCAAAUCCUCUGGUGCAACUUUUUGGGAGAGUUAAAACCUCCUCGAUGUCACCUUGGUACUAUAAUGAUGUCCUUUGACAGAAGAAACAAAGUCAACCACCAUGUUCUCCCUGAGAAGUUCAGGAAAGUUUGAUUCUUCCUUUUCCAAAGGAGAAAAGUAUCUUCAAGGAGAUGACUAAAUCUUACUCAGAAGCAUCCUUCUUCAUUAAGUUCUCAUCUGUAUGGUACCAUGCUGGAGGCUGGGCAAAGAAAAGCAAAUAAUGAGACCCUUCCAUUUCUCUAUGCUUUGGGUUUAAGAUCGACAAAACCCACAAAAGCUAAUCUCCGAGUAUACAGACAUCAAACAGCUGUGCAAACAUUGGACAGAUGCAUAAAUUAAAUACAAAAGUAAAUAAAGUAUUUACAUUAUGUACAAGUCAUGCAGCUGCUGUUACUACACUCCACGAAGGCUCCAGAGGGAAGGAGGGACAUUAAGCUGAGCAGAUUGUCUUUUUCGGUCGGGGAUGGUGUCAGCAGGAAGGAGCAGAAAGGUCACACAUGGCUCGAGGAACAAAGACAAACUGUUACAUAAACUCUUGUCUGCUGGUGCACAACCUCUAAACGUAGUCUUCAGAAUGAAGCAACUUUGUUUCUCAGAAAUAACUUUUAUAUCUCAGACUAUGCUUUUAGGAAUCUGUGUCAGUAACUAAUUUUAAAGUGUCAGGGAUGGCCCCAUGGCCAGCAACAGCAGGAACCCAAUGAGAUGACCUAAGAGAUCACAAGAACUGUC
This 2275-nucleotide long non-coding RNA is filed under the name Homo sapiens (human). RNAcentral describes it as "non-protein coding lnc-BARX2-5:3". Lineage: Eukaryota; Metazoa; Chordata; Mammalia; Primates; Hominidae. The record is from RNAcentral.